UCACAGACCCGAUCACGUUUCUGCGAGUCAGUUCUAUCUGUCUUCUGCGAGUGACUUGGCCAGUGUCUUCGAGUGUCCUGGGCAAAUCACUGCCCAUAUCACUUCUGCCUGUUGCCUCCAGGUUUCUGCUUCAGCUUGAUCUGGGCAGAUCACUGGGCAAAUCACUGACCCAAUCACUUUUCUGUCAAUUUUCUGCACUUUUUCUCCAAUUUUCCAAUUUCUUCCUUUUCUGUAAAAACAAGAUAAAAACCAUAAAUUAAACUAAAAAAUGUGUAAAUAAGCAAUAGAAA
Molecule: long non-coding RNA, 290 nt
Filed under: Manihot esculenta (cassava)
Lineage: Eukaryota; Viridiplantae; Streptophyta; Magnoliopsida; Malpighiales; Euphorbiaceae
Description: long non-coding RNA (MESC_LNC012608)
Source: RNAcentral